Molecule: ribosomal RNA, 513 nt
Filed under: uncultured bacterium
Lineage: Bacteria
Description: partial 16S ribosomal RNA
Rfam family: Bacterial small subunit ribosomal RNA
Source: RNAcentral
GACGAACGCUGGCGGCGUGCUUAACACAUGCAAGUCGAACGAGAGCGUAGAGAAAGCUUGCUUUUUCUACAAUCUAGUGGCAAACGGGUGAGUAACGCGUAAACAACCUGCCCUACGGAUGGGGACAACAGCUGGAAACGGCUGCUAAUACCGAAUACGUUCCGAAAGUCGCAUGACUAUCGGAAGAAAGGAUGGCCUCUAUUUAUAAGCUAUCGCCGGAGGAGGGGUUUGCGUCUGAUUAGCUAGUUGGAGGGGUAACGGCCCGCCAAGGCGACGAUCAGUAGCCGGUCUGAGAGGAUGAACGGCCACAUUGGAACUGAGACACGGUCCAGACUCCUACGGGAGGCAGCAGUGGGGAAUCUUCCGCAAUGGGCGAAAGCCUGACGGAGCAACGCCGCGUGAGUGAAGACGGCCUUCGGGUUGUAAAGCUCUGUUAUACGGGACGAAUAAUCUUGUGGUUAAUACCCAUGAGAAGUGACGGUACCGUAAGAGAAAGCCACGGCUAACUACGUG